GUUUCGGGGCGGAGUGAAAUUCUCCACCGGCGGUGAAAGUCCGCGAGCCCGGCGCUGCAUUCCGUAGCCGAUGGGUUGAACCGGUGCAAUUCCGGUACCGACGGUAUAGUCCGGAUGAAAGAA
Molecule: non-coding RNA, 123 nt
Filed under: human gut metagenome
Description: FMN riboswitch (RFN element)
Rfam family: FMN riboswitch aptamer (RFN element)
About the family: The RFN element is a highly conserved domain that is found frequently in the 5'-untranslated regions of prokaryotic mRNAs that encode for flavin mononucleotide (FMN) biosynthesis and transport proteins. This element is a metabolite-dependent riboswitch that directly binds FMN in the absence of proteins.
Source: RNAcentral